RNAcentral lists this ribosomal RNA (252 nucleotides) under uncultured bacterium. RNAcentral describes it as "partial 16S ribosomal RNA". It matches the Rfam family "Bacterial small subunit ribosomal RNA", at positions 524 to 776 of the family's 1533-position model. The record is from RNAcentral.
GACAGAGGCCUCAAGCGUUAGGCGGAAUCACUGGGCUUAAAGCGUGUGUAGGCGGAUCGUUAAGUGUCUUGUGAAAUCCCACGGCUCACCCGUGGAACUGCUGGGCAUACUGGCGAUCUUGGGCCAACUAGGGGCAACUGGACAAGCGGUGGAGCGGUGAAAUGCGUAGAUAUCGCUUGGAACGCCAAAGGUGAAAACAGGUUGCUGGGGUUGUGCCGACGCUGAGACACGAAAGCCAGGGGAGCAAACGGG